This 437-nucleotide ribosomal RNA is filed under the name uncultured bacterium. RNAcentral describes it as "bacterial SSU rRNA". It matches the Rfam family "Bacterial small subunit ribosomal RNA", at positions 343 to 797 of the family's 1533-position model. The record is from RNAcentral.
AGGAGGCAGCAGUGGGGAAUAUUGGACAAUGGGCGCAAGCCUGAUCCAGCAAUGCCGCGUGAGUGAUGAAGGCCUUAGGGUUGUAAAGCUCUUUCGCACGCGACGAUGAUGACGGUAGCGUGAGAAGAAGCCCCGGCUAACUUCGUGCCAGCAGCCGCGGUAAUACGAAGGGGGCUAGCGUUGUUCGGAAUUACUGGGCGUAAAGGGCGCGUAGGCGGCCUGUUAAGUUAGGAGUGAAAGCCCCGGGCUCAACCUGGGAAUUGCUCUUAAUACUGGCAGGCUUGAGUUCCGGAGAGGAUGGUGGAAUUCCCAGUGUAGAGGUGAAAUUCGUAGAUAUUGGGAAGAACACCGGUGGCGAAGGCGGCCAUCUGGACGGACACUGACGCUGAGGCGCGAAAGCGUGGGGAGCAAACAGGAUUAGAAACCCUAGUAGUCCA